AGGUGACAGGUGGUGCAUGGUUGUCGUCAGCUCGUGUCGUGAGAUGUUGGGUUAAGUCCCGCAACGAGCGCAACCCUUAUUACUAGUUGCCAGCAUUUAGUUGGGCACUCUAGUGAGACUGCCGGUGACAAACCGGAGGAAGGUGGGGAUGACGUCAAAUCAUCAUGCCCCUUAUGACCUGGGCUACACACGUGCUACAAUGGCGUAUACAACGAGUUGCCAACCCGCGAGGGUGAGCUAAUCUCUUAAAGUCACGUCUCAGUUCGGAUUCGUAGAGC
RNAcentral lists this ribosomal RNA (278 nucleotides) under uncultured Weissella sp. Its description in RNAcentral is "partial 16S ribosomal RNA". It matches the Rfam family "Bacterial small subunit ribosomal RNA", at positions 1029 to 1308 of the family's 1533-position model. Lineage: Bacteria; Bacillati; Bacillota; Bacilli; Lactobacillales; Lactobacillaceae. The record is from RNAcentral.